This 253-nucleotide ribosomal RNA is filed under the name uncultured bacterium. RNAcentral describes it as "partial 16S ribosomal RNA". It matches the Rfam family "Bacterial small subunit ribosomal RNA", at positions 524 to 776 of the family's 1533-position model. The record is from RNAcentral.
UACGGAGGGGGCUAGCGUUGUUCGGAAUUACUGGGCGUAAAGCGCACGUAGGCGGACCUGCAAGUCAGAGGUGAAAUCCCGGAGCUCAACUCCGGAACUGCCUUUGAAACUGCUGGUCUGGAGAUCGAGAGAGGUGAGUGGAAUUCCGAGUGUAGAGGUGAAAUUCGUAGAUAUUCGGAGGAACACCAGUGGCGAAGGCGGCUCACUGGCUCGAUACUGACGCUGAGGUGCGAAAGCGUGGGGAGCAAACAGG